AGGAAGCUUUUUACAAAAGGAAUAUUUACUUCCAAAUGUAGCAAGGGAAGGUGCAAAGUAGAUUGCAAGGAAUGAUUGACAAGCCUGGAUUCUGUAUGAGAGCUGACUGGGUCAGAAUUCCAAGCUGUUGAAAGUUUUUCAACUGUGAGUCUGAAACUGGAGGUCAAGACUGAAGGUGUGACUCUAGGACUCUCCCUGGACAAACCCAUCUUUCAAGCAGUCUGCCUUAGAAUAACAUCAAGACAAGGUUGAGAAGUUUCCCACUCAUUCUGGUGGACAGAGUGAUUUUGGAAAAGAAUUUCUCCCUUCCCUGGAGCUUCUAAGGACUCUACAACUGGAUUUCUGCUGUCUGACCCACCAAGGACUCAGUGUGAGAAUCUGGGCUGCCAAUUUGGAUUUAUCUUUAGGCUCUGGAAAGUCAUACUCUUCACAACUGAUAAUGAAGUGUCAACAGAGGAAAUAAAACCUUGCCACAAAGCAGCUGAGAUAAAACAGAAACAACCGACUCCUCAAAGAGCCUGUCAGGUUCUGGGAUCCGUGGAUCAUUCUCCAUCCCCUUGGAGGGAUGGCCCCAGCUCCUUAUUUGGAGAGCUCCAUUUCUUUUUCCCUUUAUGUGCCUUAUGAUCCUUCGAUGACUUCCCAGCAAUGAUGGGGACCAGAGGAUAGCAGGAGUGGCUCUCAGGAGGCUCAAUCUGGUUCCUCUUCUGACUCCUCCAAAUAUGGAACCGAGCACCUUCUCCUCACGAACCUUUCCAACACCCUAGGAUUGAGGUCUUCCUUCAGGCUUGAGCUGUCUUGUCCUGAACCUCUCCCUCCCCCAUCACCUACCCCCCACAGCCUUCAGGAAGAACAUAGAACUGAACUGAUUAAAUAAAAUACUUUAAAGAGUUGAAAAGGACCUUGAA
RNAcentral lists this long non-coding RNA (905 nucleotides) under Monodelphis domestica (gray short-tailed opossum). RNAcentral's name for it is "lncRNA (ENSMODG00000034421.2)". Lineage: Eukaryota; Metazoa; Chordata; Mammalia; Didelphimorphia; Didelphidae. The record is from RNAcentral.